CCCCCAGGAUAGGGUUCCGGUGCCACCUUCCUAAUGGGCUCAACCUUUAGUGUCCUAUAAUCCUUCCAAAGGACUUGACUGUUAGAUUUUCUAACUGAAAUCUCAAACAGUUCUUGCUGUACAUGACCUCUCUGUGAUAGCGUUACAAUUUGUUUACUGGGUGCUCUUAGUUGAGAAGAAACCUCUGGAUACAUUGGCAGAGCCAGCUGAGGAAAGUUGUGAACCAAAAGGCUUUCUGUGACCUCACUUGACCCACCUGCCUGGGCAGCUCUUGAUCUCAGGCUGCAGGUGCCCCAAAGCAACUUCCACUUCAAGGCUAUACUGGCUUCUGUUCUUGGAAGUGUGAAGGCAAUGCUAACGUCUCAGACACUGGAAAUAUGUCAUUUACCAUGACAUUUCCCUGAAUGUUUAGCACUCAAAAACACCCCUCCCCCACAGCUUAGGCAUACUCAGUUCUCUUGAGUUUCUGUUGCUCUUGGGAAAAUUGGGCCCCUUCCUUGUUAUGUCUUUAACAAAGCCCAGAUGUCUAAUACCCGGAUGCUAGAGACUUCCAAGGGCUGUUUUUGAGUUUCAAUUCUUAUCCUGGUCACUUUUCCUCUUAGACAGGGUGUACUUCCUUCUUUUCGCAUUCAUUUACCAUUGGACACUUAGGUGCCAGGCCUUAUCUAGGUGCUGGAAAUACAAACGGGUCAUGAAAAUAGCAGUGGACUCUCUAUCCUUGGAGAGAUCUCUUUGUGACAGCCAGGCAGGGUAAAAGGGCACAAACGUGAAGCAGGUCCUGACUGGAAUGCGUACGUGUGAUAACGGUGCCAGCUUCUGGUGCAGAAAAGGAGCUAAGAAGCCGUGGAAACUUCCAGACUGAAUUCAGAGUUUUCCUUUUGAUCCUAGAAGACUUGGGUGCUGUUGAAUGAUUAGCCUCUGUGGUGGGGCGGGUCCGGACCCACCUGAAAGUGCCCUUCUCAGGAAGCCACAGUGGAAGGAUUCUUGUGUUUUGUGGAAGGAAGACAUCAAGUUACAAAGUAUCUAGUACUUCCCAGGCAGUCAAGGGGAAGCAAGCUGCCCUUCAACACAUUGAAGAUGUCCUCAGGUGAAUAGCCAGCUCAUUGGCAUUCAAGCCCCACCUCUCACAGGAACUAGAAUGCAAACACAACUAGUCAGGCCUUUGCCAUGUUGUCAUACUGAUGGCUUCUUACCCUUCAUUCAACAGCGAGGUGCUCAUAUCCUCCUGAAAGACCAUCAGAAUGGGUUUUGCCAGCCAUUCACCAUCAGAACGGGCUUUGUCAUCCAUUCCCACCAGCAUUCUGGUCAGGGCUAUGGGCCCAUUUUCAAAGAAGAUCAGAGCUUUCUCUAUAGUUCUCCUCAUCUAUGACUGAGCCCUCACCAGAAUUCCCCUGAAAUGGUCCUGAUGCAAGGCUCUGUCCAUCUCACACACUGCUCCGAGCCUUUCUUGCCUCUCUCAUCUCAUCCCGAAGCCGGGUCUGCGGUUUUUAGAUCUUUGUUCCCACAGCAUCCCAUUUCUUGCAAUCAGUUUGUUUUAUUCUGCUUAGACUGCUGUCAGAAGAAUAACGGAGUUGUUUAAACAACAGACAUUUAUUUAUUUUUAUGUGCCAGAGGCUGGAAAACACAAGGUCAAGGGGCCAGCAGUUUUGGAACCUUGGUGUCUGGUUCCCUGGCUUUUAUUAGCUUGCCACCAUCCUGUAUUCAUGGCAGAGUGAGUCCAUCUCUCUCAUGGCUGCUUUGAUAGGGCUACUAAUCCCUUUGAUGAGGGCAGCAUCUUCGCUCUCAGAUCACCUCCCUAAAGUCCCAUCUUCUGGGCUGUCACGUUGGGAAUUUGGGGUCUAACAUAAGACAUUCUGAAAGCGAUGCAAAUGUUUACUUUGUAGUAUGAAAGCUCAAAAGUUUGAUGAUUGGCUUUGCAGUUAUCAUGGUUUUGUGUAUUUGGAGUCUAUCAGUGUAGUCAAAGCAAGCUCAGAUGAUGCUCAACCCCUGUGUCUUUAGUUCUCAGGAUUUGCACAGAUGACUCUGUUUAUCGAAACUGUGUGUGUGUCUGUCUGCCUGUCUGUCUUCUCUUAACCCCUGGCCCAGAAAUAUGCUUAAGCGCUGAAUUUGUCAAUGCACAUGGGUGGUUGUUUCUAUGGCUGGAGUUAGAUCAGAUAGCUCUGGAUGACUCCCUGGAAGGUGUUUAGAUAUCACUGUGAGAUGGUCCCCCAAACCUACAUUUGUGUUGGUCUAUGUGUUUUGCAAGCUACAGUCUUCACCACAAGCUGCAUUUAAAGUUUGCGUGUGCGUUUCCCUCCCUUGAUAUUUUAUGACUAGGGACUCUAUUCCUGGGCUACGGUCUCUGUCCGCCCAACUCCCAGGGGCUCUUGUUUCUGGGGAUCUUGGUCUUCAAAUGUAAUGUGGCUUGGGGGAUGAUUGAUGUAGCCACUUUAGGGCAGCUGCCCAAUAGCUAAGGUGGUGUUUGGAUGGGUCAGGAUUUCCUCAUGAGGUGGCACUAAAGAGUGAGGGCUACAAUCUAUUUCUAUUAUUUUUAAAAGGAGACAAAUUUUACGUUAUGUGACUCGAAUAAAAAAAUGUCCCAGCUAUGGGUUUUCUAACUGAGUUAGCGCUAUGCACUGGAAGAAAUUCCUAAUUGGUGUUGGGUUUACCAUGGUUGCUCUUGGUUUGUGUGUGUGUCUCUCUUUUAAUUUGGAAUGCAGUAGAAAGCACUGUUGGCUUUACCAUUUUCAAUACAGAUAUGAUUUGAGAUCCUAAGAAAAUGUUGACCCAGGUUUCUGCCAGGAGAAGAUAGAAGUGGGGUGGAGACAGGAGGGACACAGAAAAGCUACGCAGGGGUGAAGACGCUUCCAGGGGUAGUGGUUCCAAGCCUGUUCCCAGGGGGUGUUGCAUGACUCCCUGGAUCUUGGUGAUCCUGAGGAACCUACACACUUGUACCUUGAGGCUGCCACGAUCUCUGUUCCCAUAGUUUCUAUUGUUUGCAAAAAACAUGUUUAGGACCGGUGUUGAGGUAGGGUGUCUCCUCGAAAGUUAAAUGUCUCAUGAUUUGGGAUAAGCCAACUGGCAGAACUUGCCUCAGCCUCUAGGGGGACCCUUGAGUCACCAGGCACAUGUGCCUCACAGAAGUGACUUGAGUCUCAUGACCACAGGACACUAAGAAAACCUGGGCUAUUUAAAAAAUGUGUUUGCUUUAGAAGAAAAACAUGUUUGCAAAUGUGUGCCUGGAAAAUAUUCCCAGGGUGAGAAGAGAAGACAUGAGCAGUCAAGGAGGCAAGUUUGUGCUAGGACACUGUAGGGCUUCAUUCCCAGGCUCCCAUCUUUGCCCCACCCCCUACUCCCAGCUAUUGUCUGUCUGUAUGUCCAUCUUAGGAGAAGCAACCUUGUUUAUUACUCAUUAAUGUGUGCUCAGCACUUCUCAUCCUUUGGGUGAGAGGAGAGACAGCAACUCUGAGUUGACAUUAACUUUAAAACCCCAGUGCAAGCCCAUCUGGAGCUGUCUGGAAAAGGGAGGGGUCCCCCAUAAGCAUAGCUGGGCAAGACUUUCUCUGCUCUGUUAACGCUCUUCACAGCCUCAAGAAGCAGAAACAACAGGAAGUAGAAGGAAGCGUCCCGAAUGUCGAGCCACAAUGUUCUACACGAAGGGAGACAGAUGAGCAUCCCCAACUCCGAACUUCUGACUCCAGAAGAUGCUGAAGGGGGCUCGAGAAUUCACAGCCUGGGCCCUCUCUUUCAGUUCCAUGCCAGUGUGUAUUGUGUCUCACUGGCAUGCUAAAGAUGAUGAAGCAAAGAAAUUUAGGGUAUUUCGGAGUGGAAUGAUGAGCCAGAGGCUGGGGAGAAAUCAUGUUCCGUGUCCUGUUGUCACAGAUUAGCCUAAGUUCUGGUUACCCCAAGACACCUAUAUUUCAUAAAUGGUCAACCUGACUCUAAAUAUAAGAAAGGUACCUUAUGGCAAGUGUUUAACUUCCUUUAUUGUUCUGAGGCUAGCUUCAGAACUCUGGACUUUCAAAACACAUUCUACUUACCAUUAUGAAAUGGAUGAGGGAUGGCUGGUACUUGUGGAGUCCAUCUCUAAAGCUGAUUUCCCUGCCCCCGGGCCUGGAGGUGUAGGGAUACGCUUGCCAUCUUUCUGGUCGCCCCAGAAGUCUAUGCAGCUGGAC
Non-coding RNA from Myodes glareolus (Bank vole), 4154 nucleotides. The record is from RefSeq and is a predicted model, not a curated record. NCBI's taxonomy places the organism in Eukaryota, Metazoa, Chordata, Mammalia, Rodentia, Cricetidae.